CAGCCGCCACGGGAAUACGUAGGGUGCAAGCGUUACUCGGAAUUACUGGGCGUAAAGCGUGCGUAGGUGGUGGUUUAAGUCCGUUGUGAAAGCCCUGGGCUCAACCUGGGAAUUGCAGUGGAUACUGGGUCACUAGAGUGUGGUAGAGGAUAGUGGAAUUUCCGGUGUAGCAGUGAAAUGCGUAGAGAUCGGAAGGAACAUCUGUGGCGAAGGCGACUAUCUGGGCCAAUACUGACGCUGAGGUACGAAAGCAUGGGGAGCAAACAGGAUUAGAUACCCCAGUAGUCCCUGUCUCUUAUAC
RNAcentral lists this ribosomal RNA (301 nucleotides) under uncultured bacterium. RNAcentral describes it as "partial 16S ribosomal RNA". It matches the Rfam family "Bacterial small subunit ribosomal RNA", at positions 509 to 807 of the family's 1533-position model. The record is from RNAcentral.